RNAcentral lists this ribosomal RNA (468 nucleotides) under uncultured bacterium. RNAcentral describes it as "partial 16S ribosomal RNA". It matches the Rfam family "Bacterial small subunit ribosomal RNA", at positions 28 to 507 of the family's 1533-position model. The record is from RNAcentral.
GACGAACGCUGGCGGCGUGCUUAACACAUGCAAGUCGAACGGAAAGGCCCUGCUUUUGUGGGGUGCUCGAGUGGCGAACGGGUGAGUAACACGUGAGUAGCCUGCCCUUGACUUUGGGAUAACUUCAGGAAACUGGGGCUAAUACCGGAUAGGAGCUCCUGCUGCAUGGUGGGGGUUGGAAAGUUUCGGCGGGUGGGGAUGGACUCGCGGCUUAUCAGCUUGUUGGUGGGGUAGGGGCUUACCAAGGCUUUGACGGGUAGCCGGCCUGAGGGGGUGACCGGCCACAUUGGGACUGAGAUACGGCCCGGACUCCUAGGGGGGGCAGCAGUGGGGAAUAUGGCACAAUGGGCGGAGGCCUGAUGCAGCAACGCCGCGGGCGGGAUGACGGCCUUCGGGUUGUAAACCGCUUUCGCCUGUGACGAAGCGUGAGUGACGGUAAUGGGUAAAGAAGCACCGGCUAACUACGUG